UAUCGGAUUGAUACUAAGCCAUGCGAGUCAUUGCAGUAAUGCAAGGCAGACGGCUCAGUAACGCGUAGUCAACCUACCCUAUGGACGGGAAUAACCUCGGGAAACUGAGUAUAAUGCCCGAUAGAACACUAUUCCUGGAAUGGUUUGUGUUCCAAAUGAUUUAUCGCCGUAGGAUGGGACUGCGGCCUAUCAGUUUGUUGGUGAGGUAAUGGCCCACCAAGACUAUUACAGGUACGGGCUCUGAGAGGAGUAGCCCGGAGAUGGGUACUGAGACACGGACCCAGGCCCUAUGGGGCGCAGCAGGCGAGAAAACUUUGCAAUGUGCGAAAGCACGACAAGGUUAAUCCGAGUGGUUUGUGCUAAACGAACCUUUUGACAGUCCUAGAAACACUGUUGAAUAAGGGGUGGGCAAGUUCUGGUGUCAGCCGCCGCGGUAAAACCAGCACCUCAAGUGGUCAGGAUGAUUAUUGGGCCUAAAGCAUCCGUAGCCGGCUCUGUAAGUUUUCGGUUAAAUCUGUACGCUCAACGUACAGGCUGCCGGGAAUACUGCAGAGCUAGGGAGUGGGAGAGGUAGACGGUACUCGGUAGGAAGGGGUAAAAUCCUUUGAUCUAUUGAUGACCACCUGUGGCGAAGGCGGUCUACCAGAACACGUCCGACGGUGAGGGAUGAAAGCUGGGGGAGCAAACCGGGUUAGAUACCCGGGUAGUCCCAGCUGUAAACUAUGCAAACUCAGUGAUGCAUUGGCUUGUGGCCAAUGCAGUGCUGCAGGGAAGCCGUUAAGUUUGCCGCCUGGGAAGUACGUACGCAAGUAUGAAACUUAAAGGAAUUGGCGGGGGAGCACCACAAGGGGUGAAGCCUGCGGUUCAAUUGGAUUC
This 876-nucleotide ribosomal RNA is filed under the name uncultured archaeon. Its description in RNAcentral is "bacterial SSU rRNA". It matches the Rfam family "Archaeal small subunit ribosomal RNA", at positions 31 to 913 of the family's 1478-position model. The record is from RNAcentral.